Unclassified non-coding RNA from Callithrix jacchus (white-tufted-ear marmoset), 300 nucleotides. It matches the Rfam family "Metazoan signal recognition particle RNA". Rfam says of the family: The signal recognition particle (SRP) is a universally conserved ribonucleoprotein. It is involved in the co-translational targeting of proteins to membranes. The eukaryotic SRP consists of a 300-nucleotide 7S RNA and six proteins: SRPs 72, 68, 54, 19, 14, and 9. The record is from Ensembl. NCBI's taxonomy places the organism in Eukaryota, Metazoa, Chordata, Mammalia, Primates, Cebidae.
GCUGGGCACGGUGGUUCGUGCCUGUAGUCCCAUCUACUCAGGAGGCUGAGGUGGGAGGCUCACUUGAGCCCAGGAGUUCUGGGCUGUAGUGCGCUAUGCCAAUUGGGUGUCCGCACUAAGUUUGGCAUCAAUAUGGUGACCUCCCGGGAGCAGGGGACCACCAGGUUGCCUAAGGAGGGAUGAACCAGCCCAGGUCCGAAAUAGAGCAAGUCAAAACUCCCAUGCUGAUCAGUAGUGGGACUGCGCCUGUGAAUAGCCACUGCACUCCAGCCUGGACGACAUAGUGAGACCCCGUCUCUU